Molecule: ribosomal RNA, 265 nt
Filed under: uncultured bacterium
Lineage: Bacteria
Description: partial 16S ribosomal RNA
Rfam family: Bacterial small subunit ribosomal RNA
Source: RNAcentral
GCAAGUCGAGCGAGAAGGUUAUGAAAGAUUCUUCGGCUGAUUGAUUAACUGGAAAUCGGCGGACGGGUGAGUAACGCGUGAGUAACCUGCCCCAUACACAGGGAUAGCCAUUGGAAACGAUGAUUAAUACCUGAUAGCACAUAGACAUCACAUGUUGUUUAUGUCAAAGAUUUAUCGGUAGGGGAUGGACUCGCGUCUGAUUAGCUAGUUGGUGAGGUAACGGCUUACCAAGGCGACGAUCAGUAGCCGACCUGAGAGGGUGGUC